GUGGAGGUAUGUGGUUUAAUUCGAAGCAACGCGAAGAACUUACCAGGGCUUGACAUCCCUUGAAGCAGCUAGAGAUAGCUGUGUCCUUCGGGACAAGGAGACAGGUGGUGCAUGGUUGUCGUCAGCUCGUGUCGUGAGAUGUUGGGUUAAGUCCCGCAACGAGCGCAACCCCUGUGGUUAGUUGCCAGCAAGUAGCGUUGGGCACUCUAGCCAGACUGCCGGUGAUAAAUCGGAGGAAGGUGGGGACGACGUCAAAUCAUCAUGCCCUUUAUGUCCUGGGCUACACACGUACUACAAUGGCCGUUACAACGGGAAGCGAAGGAGCAAUCCGGAGCAAAUCCCUUAAAGGCGGUCCCAGUUCAGAUUGUGGGCUGAAACUCGCCCACAUGAAGGCGGAAUUGCUAGUAAUUGCAGAUCAGCAUGCUGCAGUGAAUACGUUCCCGGGCCUU
Molecule: ribosomal RNA, 449 nt
Filed under: uncultured bacterium
Lineage: Bacteria
Description: bacterial SSU rRNA
Rfam family: Bacterial small subunit ribosomal RNA
Source: RNAcentral